AUCGGUGCUUGCACUGAUCCGAUCGAGUGGCGGACGGGUGAGUAACGCGUGGGUAACCUGCCUCAUACAGGGGAAUAACAGUUGGAAACGGCUGCUAAAACCGCAUAAGCGCACGGUAUCGCAUGAUACAGUGUGAAAAACUCCGGUGGUAUGAGAUGGACCCGCGUCCGAUUAGAUAGUUGGUGAGGUAACGGCUCACCAAGUCGACGAUCGGUAGCCGACCUGAGAGGGUGAUCGGCCACAUUGGGACUGAGACACGGCCCAAACUCC
This 270-nucleotide ribosomal RNA is filed under the name uncultured Eubacteriales bacterium. RNAcentral's name for it is "uncultured Clostridiales bacterium partial 16S ribosomal RNA". It matches the Rfam family "Bacterial small subunit ribosomal RNA", at positions 72 to 339 of the family's 1533-position model. The record is from RNAcentral. Lineage: Bacteria; Bacillati; Bacillota; Clostridia; Eubacteriales.